RNAcentral lists this ribosomal RNA (224 nucleotides) under uncultured bacterium. Its description in RNAcentral is "partial 16S ribosomal RNA". It matches the Rfam family "Bacterial small subunit ribosomal RNA", at positions 524 to 745 of the family's 1533-position model. The record is from RNAcentral.
GACGAACCGUGCGAACGUUGUUCGGAAUCACUGGGCUUAAAGGGCGCGUAGGCGGGCUGCCGCGUCCGGGGUGAAAUCCCACGGCUCAACCGUGGAACGGCCUCGGAUACGGGCGGCCUCGAGGGGGGGUAGGGGCAUCUGGAACUGUGAGUGGAGCGGUGAAAUGCGUUGAUAUUCAUAGGAACUCCGGUGGCGAAGGCGAGGUGCUGGACCCCUUCUCGACG